UAAACGGCCCUUUUCAGGGCCAACACGACACCGAAUUCGGCGCUU
This is a non-coding RNA of Acyrthosiphon pisum (pea aphid), 45 nucleotides long. The record is from Rfam. NCBI's taxonomy places the organism in Eukaryota, Metazoa, Arthropoda, Insecta, Hemiptera, Aphididae.